UCCAGGAGCAAGGCAAGCCAAGAAACCUUUGCUUUUGAAGGAGAAGAUGCAGAAAUGGGGAAGGAAGAAAAGAAGCCCCCUGAGUCCUCCCUGAGCCACAGGCAGUCCCUGAAGUGCCUUCCUGGGAAUGGUAGGAUGGUGAGGACUCUGCAUUGCUCCCUAGGGAUGUGUGGAACUCCAGGAAUUGACGGUGACGCCUCGGCCGAUGGAUUGGACGCCCCAGCCCGUCCGUUCCUGCCCAGCCCUUGGGUCCCUGUCAAGGGGUGGGACUCCCAGCCCCUCCAGGGGGCUGUGGCGUGGAAACUGCAGAGAGCUGAGCCAGGGGA
Long non-coding RNA from Empidonax traillii (willow flycatcher), 326 nucleotides. RefSeq lists it as uncharacterized. The transcript is spliced from 3 exons. The record is from RefSeq and is a predicted model, not a curated record. Lineage: Eukaryota; Metazoa; Chordata; Aves; Passeriformes; Tyrannidae.